UGAGUAACACGUAUCCAACCUGCCGUCUACUCUUGGACAGCCUUCUGAAAGGAAGAUUAAUACAAGAUGGCAUCAUGAGUUCACAUGUUCACAUGAUUAAAGGUAUUCCGGUAGACGAUGGGGAUGCGUUCCAUUAGAUAGUAGGCGGGGUAACGGCCCACCUAGUCUUCGAUGGAUAGGGGUUCUGAGAGGAAGAUCCCCCACAUUGGAACUGAGACACGGUCCAA
This 227-nucleotide ribosomal RNA is filed under the name uncultured bacterium. RNAcentral describes it as "partial 16S ribosomal RNA". It matches the Rfam family "Bacterial small subunit ribosomal RNA", at positions 107 to 334 of the family's 1533-position model. The record is from RNAcentral.